AGUGAACGCUGGCGGUAGGCCUAACACAUGCAAGUCGAACGGCAGCACAGUAAGAGCUUGCUCUUACGGGUGGCGAGUGGCGGACGGGCGAGGAAUACAUCGGAAUCUACUUUUUCGUGGGGGAUAACGUAGGGAAACUUACGCUAAUACCGCAUACGACCUACGGGUGAAAGCAGGGGAUCUUCGGACCUUGCGCGAUUGAAUGAGCCGAUGUCGGAUUAGCUAGUUGGCGGGGUAAAGGCCCACCAAGGCGACGAUCCGUAGCUGGUCUGAGAGGAUGAUCAGCCACACUGGAACUGAGACACGGUCCAGACUCCUACGGGAGGCAGCAGUGGGGCAUAUUGGACAAUGGGCGCAAGCCUGAUCCAGCCAUACCGCGUGGGUGAAGAAGGCCUUCGGGUUGUAAAGCCCUUUUGUUGGGAAAGAAAAGCAGCAGGUUAAUACCCCGCUGUUCUGACGGUACCCAAAGAAUAAGCACCGGCUAACUUCGUG
Molecule: ribosomal RNA, 492 nt
Filed under: uncultured bacterium
Lineage: Bacteria
Description: partial 16S ribosomal RNA
Rfam family: Bacterial small subunit ribosomal RNA
Source: RNAcentral